CCUACGGGAGGCAGCAGUGAGGACUAUUGGUCAAUGUGCUUCCGCCUGAACCCGCCAAGUCGUGUGAGGGAAGACUGCCCUCUGGGUUGUAAACCUCUUUUUUCAGGGAGCAACGCCGGCUACGUGUAGCCGUACUGAGAGUACCUGAAGCAAAAGCAUCGGCUAACUCCGUGUCAGCAGCCGCGGUAAUACGGGGGAUGCGAGCGUUAUCCGGAUUUAUUGGGUUUACAGGGUGCGUAGGCGGAAGAUCAAGUCAGCGGGAAAAGUGAGAGGCGCAACCUCUUCGAGACGUUGAAACUGGUUUUCGUGAGUGAGUGAGAAGUAUGCGGAAUGCGUGGGGUAGCGGUGAAAUGCAUAGAUAUCACGCAGAACUCCGAGUGCGAAGGCAGCAUACCGGCGCUCAACGGACGCUCAUGCACGAAAGUGUGGGUAGCGAACAGGAUUAGAUACCCCAGUAGUC
RNAcentral lists this ribosomal RNA (460 nucleotides) under uncultured bacterium. RNAcentral describes it as "partial 16S ribosomal RNA". It matches the Rfam family "Bacterial small subunit ribosomal RNA", at positions 338 to 795 of the family's 1533-position model. The record is from RNAcentral.